This 310-nucleotide ribosomal RNA is filed under the name uncultured archaeon. RNAcentral describes it as "bacterial SSU rRNA". It matches the Rfam family "Archaeal small subunit ribosomal RNA", at positions 200 to 511 of the family's 1478-position model. The record is from RNAcentral.
CGCCUGAGGAUGGGGCCGCGUCCGAUCAGGUUGUUGGUGAGGUAACGGCUCACCAAGCCUAUAACCGGUACGGGCCGUGAGAGCGGUAGCCCGGAGAUGGGUACUGAAACAAGGACCCAUGCCCUACGGGGCGCAACAGUCGCUAAAACUCCUCAAUGCACGAAAGUGUGACGGGGCUACCCCGAGUGCUCUCCGCUGAGGAAAGCUUUUCUCUGGUGUAACAAGCCAGGGGAAUAAGGAGAGGGCAACACUGGUGUCAGCCGCCGAGGUAAUACCAGCUCUCCGAGUGGUAGGGAUGUUUAUUGGGCUU